Molecule: non-coding RNA, 69 nt
Organism: Podarcis lilfordi (Lilford's wall lizard)
Lineage: Eukaryota; Metazoa; Chordata; Lepidosauria; Squamata; Lacertidae
Source: the annotation of a GenBank genome assembly
GGGUGACUCAGUUUGUAGAGCAUGAGACUCUUAAUAUCAGGGUUGUGGGUUCAUGCCCCAUGUUGGGCA